Molecule: ribosomal RNA, 427 nt
Filed under: uncultured bacterium
Lineage: Bacteria
Description: partial 16S ribosomal RNA
Rfam family: Bacterial small subunit ribosomal RNA
Source: RNAcentral
UGGGGAAUAUUGCACAAUUGGCGCAAGCCUGAUGCAGCCAUGCCGCGUGUAUGAAGAAGGCCUUCGGGUUGUAAAGUACUUUCAGCGGGGAGGAAGGUGUUGUGGUUAAUAACCACAGCAAUUGACGUUACCCGCAGAAGAAGCACCGGCUAACUCCGUGCCAGCAGCCGCGGUAAUACGGAGGGUGCAAGCGUUAAUCGGAAUUACUGGGCGUAAAGCGCACGCAGGCGGUCUGUCAAGUCGGAUGUGAAAUCCCCGGGCUCAACCUGGGAACUGCAUCCGAAACUGGCAGGCUUGAGUCUUGUAGAGGGGGGUAGAAUUCCAGGUGUAGCGGUGAAAUGCGUAGAGAUCUGGAGGAAUACCGGUGGCGAAGGCGGCCCCCUGGACAAAGACUGACGCUCAGGUGCGAAAGCGUGGGGAGCAAACA